This 18-nucleotide small nuclear RNA is filed under the name Arabidopsis thaliana (thale cress). RNAcentral's name for it is "snRNA_10077". Lineage: Eukaryota; Viridiplantae; Streptophyta; Magnoliopsida; Brassicales; Brassicaceae. The record is from RNAcentral.
AGAGUGCUUGAAAUUGUC